UACGGAGGAUGCAAGCGUUAUCCGGAUUCAUUGGGUUUAAAGGGUGCGCAGGCGGAGAUAUAAGUCAGUGGUGAAAAACUGCCGCUCAACGGUAGUAUUGCCAUUGAUACUGUUUCUCUUGAGUAUGGAUGAGGUAGGCGGAAUGUGCAGUGUAGCGGUGAAAUGCAUAGAUAUUGCACGGAACACCAAUUGCGAAGGCAGCUUACUGGGCCAUUACUGACGCUCAGGCACGAAAGCGUGGGGAU
RNAcentral lists this ribosomal RNA (245 nucleotides) under uncultured prokaryote. Its description in RNAcentral is "partial 16S ribosomal RNA". It matches the Rfam family "Bacterial small subunit ribosomal RNA", at positions 524 to 768 of the family's 1533-position model. The record is from RNAcentral.